This 478-nucleotide ribosomal RNA is filed under the name uncultured bacterium. RNAcentral's name for it is "SSU rRNA". It matches the Rfam family "Bacterial small subunit ribosomal RNA", at positions 26 to 524 of the family's 1533-position model. The record is from RNAcentral.
AGGACGAACGCUGGCGGCGCGCUUAACACAUGCAAGUCGAACGUGAAGCCCGGGCUUGCCCGGGUGGAAAGUGGCGAACGGGUGCGUAACACGUGAGCAACCUGCCCAGAAGACCGGGAUAACAGCGGGAAACCGCUGCUAAUACCGGAUGCCCUCAUCAUGUCGCAUGGCGAGAUGAGGAAAUGGAUUCCGCUUCGGGAUGGGCUCGCGGCCUAUCAGCUUGUUGGUGAGGUAACGGCUCACCAAGGCAACGACGGGUAGCUGGUCUGAGAGGAUGUCCAGCCACACUGGGACUGAGACACGGCCCAGACUCCUACGGGAGGCAGCAGUGGGGAAUCUUGCACAAUGGGCGAAAGCCUGAUGCAGCGACGCCGCGUGCGGGAUGACGGCCUUCGGGUUGUAAACCGCUUUCAGCAGGGACGAUUAUGACGGUACCUGCAGAAGAAGCCCGGCCACUACGUGCAGCAGCCGCGGUAAU